GACGAACCGUGCGAACGUUGUUCGGAUUCACUGGGCUUAAAGGGCGCGUAGGCGGGCGUGUGCGUCAGGGGUGAAAGCCCCCGGCCCAACCGGGGAAGGGCCUCUGAUACCACACGCCUCGAGGGAGGCAGGGGCAGCGGGAACUUCCGGUGGAGCGGUGAAAUGCGUAGAUAUCGGAAGGAACGCCGGUGGCGAAAUCGCGCUGCUGGGCCUCCUCUGACGCUGAGGCGCGAAAGCCAGGGGAGCGAACGGG
This 253-nucleotide ribosomal RNA is filed under the name uncultured bacterium. RNAcentral's name for it is "partial 16S ribosomal RNA". It matches the Rfam family "Bacterial small subunit ribosomal RNA", at positions 524 to 776 of the family's 1533-position model. The record is from RNAcentral.